UAGGGAAUCUUCGGCAAUGGACGGAAGUCUGACCGAGCAACGCCGCGUGAGUGAAGAAGGUUUUCGGAUCGUAAAGCCCUGUUGUUAGAGAAGAACGUUGGUAGGAGUGGAAAAUCUACCAAGUGACGGUAACUAACCAGAAAGGGACGGCUAACUACGUGCCAGCAGCCGCGGUAAUACGUAGGUCCCGAGCGUUGUCCGGAUUUAUUGGGCGUAAAGCGAGCGCAGGCGGUUCUUUAAGUCGGAAGUUAAAGGCAGUGGCUUAACCAUUGUACGCUUUGGAAGCUGGAAGACUUGAGUGCAGAAGGGGAGAGUGGAAUUCCAUGUGUAGCGGUGAAAUGCGUAGAUAUAUGGAGGAACACCGGUGGCGAAAGCGGCUCUCUGGUCUGUAACUGACGCUGAGGCUCGAAAGCGUGGGGAGCAAACAGG
RNAcentral lists this ribosomal RNA (429 nucleotides) under Bacillota bacterium. Its description in RNAcentral is "Firmicutes bacterium partial 16S ribosomal RNA". It matches the Rfam family "Bacterial small subunit ribosomal RNA", at positions 355 to 776 of the family's 1533-position model. Lineage: Bacteria; Bacillati; Bacillota. The record is from RNAcentral.